RNAcentral lists this ribosomal RNA (779 nucleotides) under marine metagenome. RNAcentral describes it as "bacterial SSU rRNA". It matches the Rfam family "Bacterial small subunit ribosomal RNA", at positions 667 to 1445 of the family's 1533-position model. The record is from RNAcentral.
UUCCCGGUGUAGCGGUGAAAUGCGUAGAUAUCGGGAAGAACACCAGUGGCGAAGGCGCUCUGCUGGGCCAUUACUGACGCUCAUGGACGAAAGCCAGGGGAGCGAAAGGGAUUAGAUACCCCUGUAGUCCUGGCCGUAAACGAUGAACACUAGGUGUCGGGGGAAUCGACCCCUUCGGUGUCGUAGCUAACGCGUUAAGUGUUCCGCCUGGGGAGUACGCACGCAAGUGUGAAACUCAAAGGAAUUGACGGGGGCCCGCACAAGCGGUGGAGUAUGUGGUUUAAUUCGAUGCAACGCGAAGAACCUUACCAGGGUUUGACAUCCUGCGAACCUCUUAGAAAUUUGAGGGUGCCUUCGGGAAUGCAGUGACAGGUGGUGCAUGGCUGUCGUCAGCUCGUGUCGUGAGAUGUUGGGUUAAGUCCCGCAACGAGCGCAACCCACGUUUUUAGUUGCCAGCAUUUAGUUGGGCACUCUAGAAAGACCGCCGGUGAUAAACCGGAGGAAGGUGUGGAUGACGUCAAGUCAUCAUGCCCCUUACACCCUGGGCUACACACGUACUACAAUGCUACGGACAAAGGGCAGCAAACUCGCGAGGGCAAGCAAAUCCCAUAAACCGUGGCUCAGUUCAGAUCGUAGGCUGCAACUCGCCUACGUGAAGUAGGAAUCGCUAGUAAUCGCAGGUCAGCAUACUGCGGUGAAUACGUUCCCGGGCCUUGUACACACCGCCCGUCACACCAUGGAAGUUGGCCAUGCCCGAAGUCGUUACUCCAACCCUUGUG